CUGCUUGGCUCCAAGGAGACAGAGAACACGAAGUGCCCAGAAUUUGGUUUAAUGAUUAUCUGACUUUCAAAAAGUUGAUUCUCCAUUAUGUACAUGUGGCUUUGCAGUUUAUGGGCGAACACAUUACAAGACGAUAUGCUUUAAACAGGAUAACCGAAGAAGAAGGCUGCUGAGCCGCUAAGAAGGGAAGAAUCCCUCGGCUUUAGAAUGAAUCGUCCCUGAUCUUUUGAGUUGAGGCGGUUCACCCACAGCCCGGGAAGACAACAUCUAGCUACAUAGCCUGACUGGCCUGGAACUCACUAUGUCGACUAUGUCACUAUGUCACUAUGUCAAGCUUGAAACACCUGAGCAGUUCUCCUGCUUCAGCUGCCCAGGGUGCUCUUAAAAGAUCCCUGUUUCCUUAAUUCAUCAUGAACACUGCUAUGUGCAAACAACAAUUGCUUCAUGUUGUAAUUACUAUGCAAAACUACAAGGAGAUUUUCUUGAAGACUGAACUUUAAGGCAGGAUUCAACAUGGCAUGCAAAAAGCAACUUGCCCUUCCAAAGACCCACUCUGCUGCCACCUGUCGUUCCUCCAGAGCAAUGACUCACCUGCCAACUCUUCAUCAUGAAUUACUGAGAAACACCAUCAUCUCCGGUAUUAUAAUCAGAUUGCAUCCCGGAUAUUUUUAUACUCAGGGAGUUUUUGAGUCUGCAACAGUUGGAGAAGCAUGUUUUAAAGCAGCCACACAUGGCCAUACAGACUUAGACUUCUCCCCUGGCACAGGCAACAGGCAUUAGAGAAGAUUGAAAAGACAAGGAGAGACAGUUUAGGAUUUUUUUUGUUACAUUAUUUUUUAUUUUUAUAUUAGUUACUGUUUAUUCACUUUGUAUCCCAGCUGUAGCCUCCUCUCUCAUUCCCUCCCAGUCCCACCUUCCCUCCCUCAUCUUCACCCAUGGCCCUCCCCAAGUCCACUGAUAAGGGAGGUCUUCCUGCCCUUCCAUCUACCCUAGUCUAUCAGGUCUCAUUAGGACUGGCUGCAAUGUCUUUCUCUGUGGCCUGGUAAGGCUGCUCCUCCCUCAGGGAGGGGCAGUAGCUUCACAAGGAGAGCAACAGAACCGAAAAAUCUGAGCCCAGGGUCUUUUCUGAGACUGAUAUUCCAACCAAGGACCAUUCAUGGAUAUAACCUAAACCCCUGCUCAGAUGUAGCCCAUGGCAGUUCAGUAUCCAAAUGGGUACCCUAGUAAGGGGAACAGGAACUGUCUCUGACAGUUUAGGAUUUCUAACUCACCAGAACCAAUAGAAUGCCUCAAGCAGUGGUUCUCAACCUGUGCUUCAUGUCCCUUUGGAAAAUCUCUAUUUCCAAAGAUAUUUACAUUGCACUUCAUAACAGUAGCAAAAUUACUGUUACAAAGUGACAACACAAUUUUCUGGUUGGGUCUCACUGUCACAUCAGCAACUGUGUUAAAGGGUCACAGUAUUAGCAAGAGUGAGAAACAACUAUGACAGCUUAUGAAGAAAAAACCCAGAAUUUAAUGGCAGCAGUUAUGGAAGUAACAUUUUAUUCCAGGAGUACCCAGGGUCCUGUCCCUUAACCCCUUUGUAUAUGAAUUAGUCUCACUACUAAAAACUGUCAAGACAGAAAUGGGAAGUCGAGUCCUUCCUUUGAGCUGUUCAGAGUUUCGGUCUUUAACAGUAUUUCAUGUCCCCAGAAAUCAGCCCCUCUAAGGCAGCUAUCUGAAAUACAAGCAGCCACCGGGAAAACUACAAUCAAUAAACAAAUAGCAACUAUAUGGCAGAUUGCUAUUCCUAAAAUAGGCACACAAAGGAAUAUUAAAUUUGGUCCUCUGUAUACUUUCUAUUUUAGGUUAUUUUUGUCUUUUGUUUUAUUAACUUUUCUUACAGAAACAAUUUUAUCUCAGUUAAGUUUGUUAUUGCUCAGAGUAUUAGCAUGAGGAACAAAUUUCUAAUUUUCUUAUUUGUAUUUGUUAAUAGUAGAGUUUGUUUUUUUAGUGGGUUUCCAGCUUUUAACAGACACAAUUAAAUGUAUGUUUUUAAAAUACAUCUUAAAUAUAUAUUUAAAUUAGCAA
Meriones unguiculatus (Mongolian gerbil) is the source of this 2070-nucleotide long non-coding RNA. RefSeq lists it as uncharacterized. NCBI's taxonomy places the organism in Eukaryota, Metazoa, Chordata, Mammalia, Rodentia, Muridae. The transcript is spliced from 4 exons. The record is from RefSeq and is a predicted model, not a curated record.